GAUGAACGCUGGCGGCGUGCCUAAUACAUGCGAGUCGAGCGAACGGACGAGAAGCUUGCUUCUCUGAUGUUAGCGGCGGACGGGUGAGUAACACGUGGAUAACCUACCUAUAAGACUGGGAUAACUUCGGGAAACCGGAGCUAAUACCGGAUAAUAUUUUGAACCGCAUGGUUCAAAAGUGAAAGACGGUCUUGCUGUCACUUAUAGAUGGAUCCGCGCUGCAUUAGCUAGUUGGUAAGGUAACGGCUUACCAAGGCAACGAUGCAUAGCCGACCUGGGAGGGUGAUCGGCCACACUGGAACUGAGACACGGUCCAGACUCCUACGGGAGGCAGCAGUAGGGAAUCUUCCGCAAUGGGCGAAAGCCUGACGGAGCAACGCCGCGUGAGUGAUGAAGGUCUUCGGAUCGUAAAACUCUGUUAUUAGGGAAGAACAUAUGUGUAAGUAACUGUGCACAUCUUGACGGUACCUAAUCAGAAAGCCACGGCUAACUACGUG
Molecule: ribosomal RNA, 497 nt
Filed under: uncultured bacterium
Lineage: Bacteria
Description: partial 16S ribosomal RNA
Rfam family: Bacterial small subunit ribosomal RNA
Source: RNAcentral